AAAAGAACCACGGACGAUGGACUCUACCUUCACCCCAACCGGCGCCAUGGAUUUUACCUCCAUCAUCUCUAUCCUCGUCAAUUUCAUCCAAGUUAAAUUCCAGGGGAAGUUGAUUUCGCCCUUCGAAACUCACCCCCUUGCCAUCGGCGUUGCCAUCUGCAGCCUGCUCCUGCAUUUCUUGUUGCUGCGUCUCGCCGAUGGAGCAUCGCAGCUCCUCAUCAACUUCACCGGUUCGAUAUCGGUGGCUUCGCUCGCGUGGGUGCUGCUCCACGAUUUCAAUGUGAGAGUCGUUACAUCAUAGUCUCCAUUUGACCUCUGAGAGGUGACAACUAUAUCUUUGCUGUGGAAAAUGCGUUAACUUGCAAUCUAAGACUACGUUGUCUCGCUGGUGGAUUGGCUUUUGGCCAGGAGCUUGAAUUUUUGCUUCAGCUGGACAUUCAAGUUUCUGGGGCCAAGAGAGCUACAAUCUUGGAUGUUGACUGUGGCAGUGAGUCCAAUUGACUUGCAUGGGAGCAUAAGUUGAAAUGUCAACCAGAAAGGAAAUUCUUUUUGUCUUGAAAUGCAAUAUUUUCAUCAACUUCAGAGUAGCAGGGUCUUCAGGUACUUGCACUAUUCCAGCGACCUGUAUUAAAAAAUGUUUGGUAUUGGAGCAUUUUCUGUUGAUUAUUACUUAUUAUGGAGGAUGAGUCUAUAUAUAUGAUGUUAAAAAGGAACAUGGUUAUUCACCACAUCACAGGGUAUUGUAUCCAUUUGUUUCCUAAAGUCUGUUUAGUAAGAGAUCACUUCUGUGAUGAAAGCGCACGGUGGGCAAUACACAUUUGAUAUGAGUAGUCAAUGGGCAGGGGCAUUCAUUGCAGACAUAAGCACCCAGAUUCAGGUUCCCUAUCUUCUCACGAAGGUCAAAUAGUACUCACUGGUAUCAUCUUUGAUGAAUGAAGCAUAAAGUGUGAGUUGAUGAAAGUUAGUGGCAAUCUUUUACCGUAGUGGAAGGCAAUCUGUGAUCACUAAGAUUGCACUGCACACAGCCAUAUAAGUCGAACCUGCAAAAUUUACCAGAGACACUGCAUAGGAAUCACAGUUCUGUAGACUAAAAAUAAGAAAGAGCAUAUGCUUGUGGAGGUGAUAUUUCAAAGUGGGCCUUUCAAAAGUGCAUGAAAUGUUGAAAUCGUAGUCACAUUCCAUGCAAUGAAAGACAGAGCGUUGACACUCUUCAGGAGAUCUGUCAACAAUGCUCCUUCCUAAUAUGAGAAGAAAAAGGAUGUGGGGGGUGGACAGGUUGUUGCAUAACUGAGGGCAAUUCAGCACAUGAUCUAUGGACCAGAAAAGAGCAGCUCUGCUCCAGCCAGCGAUGGGUUAAA
Long non-coding RNA from Eucalyptus grandis, 1358 nucleotides. RefSeq lists it as uncharacterized. Lineage: Eukaryota; Viridiplantae; Streptophyta; Magnoliopsida; Myrtales; Myrtaceae. The transcript is spliced from 4 exons. The record is from RefSeq and is a predicted model, not a curated record.